RNAcentral lists this transfer RNA (84 nucleotides) under Solirubrobacterales bacterium. Its description in RNAcentral is "tRNA-Leu". It matches the Rfam family "tRNA". Rfam says of the family: Transfer RNA (tRNA) molecules are approximately 80 nucleotides in length. Their secondary structure includes four short double-helical elements and three loops (D, anti-codon, and T loops). Further hydrogen bonds mediate the characteristic L-shaped molecular structure. tRNAs have two regions of fundamental functional importance: the anti-codon, which is responsible for specific mRNA codon recognition, and the 3' end, to which the tRNAs corresponding amino acid is attached (by aminoacyl-tRNA synthetases). tRNAs cope with the degeneracy of the genetic code in two manners: having more than one tRNA (with a specific anti-codon) for a particular amino acid; and 'wobble' base-pairing, i.e. permitting non-standard base-pairing at the 3rd anti-codon position. Lineage: Bacteria; Bacillati; Actinomycetota; Thermoleophilia; Solirubrobacterales. The record is from RNAcentral.
GCGGCGGUGGCGGAAUUGGUAGACGCCCCGGAUUCAAGUCCCGGUGUCCGCGAGGACGUGUGGGUUCGAGUCCCACCCGCCGUA